Molecule: ribosomal RNA, 253 nt
Filed under: uncultured bacterium
Lineage: Bacteria
Description: partial 16S ribosomal RNA
Rfam family: Bacterial small subunit ribosomal RNA
Source: RNAcentral
UACGUAGGGUGCAAGCGUUGUCCGGAAUUAUUGGGCGUAAAGAGCUCGUAGGCGGUUUGUCGCGUCGACUGUGAAAACCCGAGGCUUAACCUCGGGCCUGCAGUCGAUACGGGCGGACUAGAGUUCGGUAGGGGAGACUGGAAUUCCUGGUGUAGCGGUGAAAUGCGCAGAUAUCAGGAGGAACACCGGUGGCGAAGGCGGGUCUCUGGGCCGAUACUGACGCUGAGGAGCGAAAGCGUGGGGAGCGAACAGG